AUGACCGCUUUACCAAUAGUUGAGACUCAAUCUGGAGACGUUUCCGCCUAUAUUCCUACUAAUGUAAUCUCCAUUACAGAUGGACAAAUAUUCUUAUCUGCGGAUCUAUUCCAUGCCGGAAUUCGACCCGCUAUUAAUGUGGGUAUUUCAGUUUCCAGAGUAGGAUCUGCGGCUCAAAUUAAAGCCAUGAAACAAGUAGCUGGCAAAUCCAAAUUGGAACUAGCUCAAUUCGUAGAGUGACAAGCCUAUUUCGCCUCUGCUCUCGAUAAAACAAGUCAGAAUCAAUUGGCAAGGGGUCGACGAUUAAGGGAAUUGCUUAAACAAUCCCAGGCAAAUCCUCUCCCAGUGGAAGAGCAGAUAGCUACUAUUUAUACCGGAACAAGAGGAUAUCUUGAUUCGUUAGAAAUUGAACAGGUAAAGAAAUAG
This 426-nucleotide ribosomal RNA is filed under the name Triticum aestivum (bread wheat). RNAcentral describes it as "partial small subunit ribosomal RNA". The record is from RNAcentral. Lineage: Eukaryota; Viridiplantae; Streptophyta; Magnoliopsida; Poales; Poaceae.